Long non-coding RNA from Polypterus senegalus (gray bichir), 422 nucleotides. RefSeq lists it as uncharacterized. The transcript has 3 exons. NCBI's taxonomy places the organism in Eukaryota, Metazoa, Chordata, Cladistia, Polypteriformes, Polypteridae. The record is from RefSeq and is a predicted model, not a curated record.
ACAUGACUAUCAGCAUGUGACACCAGAAUUUAAGAUGGCUGCAUGCUACCACAGUUCUCCAAGUUCCUUGGUUCUCCUUUUUCAUCUAACAGUAUACAACAACCAGGCUGGUCAGCAGAACAGAGGAAACAAUCACUCCUGCUCUCUUUCAGUUGGAGAGAAGAUAAUACGGAAGCAAAACAAAACUUCCUCUCAUAAGCUUUGAUAGAUGCAGGUUCAGGUCCAGGUUAUGGUGCCUUCUGUGAGGAAAUGAAGGUUUACCUCAGGAUCCAUAGAACCCUGUUUUCUUUUGCUUUUCCCCAUUAGAAGACAUACUAUACCAGACUUAGAUGAUUUUCAGCAAAAGCAGCACUAUGGUUACACAUGUAAGGACCUGCUGAUUUUGUUACCAGGAUAGCAGCUUCACAGCAACAAAGCAUUUG